Molecule: ribosomal RNA, 439 nt
Filed under: uncultured bacterium
Lineage: Bacteria
Description: bacterial SSU rRNA
Rfam family: Bacterial small subunit ribosomal RNA
Source: RNAcentral
ACGCGUGGAACCUUACCAGGUCUUGACAUCCCGCUGACCGUCCUGGAGACAGGAUUUUCCCUUCGGGGACAGCGGUGACAGGUGGUGCAUGGUUGUCGUCAGCUCGUGUCGUGAGAUGUUGGGUUAAGUCCCGCAACGAGCGCAACCCUUGAUCUUAGUUGCCAGCAUUUAGUUGGGCACUCUAAGGUGACUGCCGGUGACAAACCGGAGGAAGGUGGGGAUGACGUCAAAUCAUCAUGCCCCUUAUGACCUGGGCUACACACGUGCUACAAUGGAUGGUACAAAGGGCUGCAAGACCGCGAGGUUUAGCCAAUCCCAUAAAACCAUUCUCAGUUCGGAUUGCAGGCUGCAACUCGCCUGCAUGAAGCUGGAAUCGCUAGUAAUCGCGGAUCAGCAUGCCGCGGUGAAUACGUUCCCGGGCCUUGUACACACCGCCCGU